GACGAACGCUGGCGGCGUGCUUAACACAUGCAAGUCGAGCGGUAAGGCCCUUUCGGGGGUACGACGAGCGGCGAACGGGUGAGUAACACGUGGGUGACCUGCCCUCAGCUCUGGGAUAAGCCUGGGAAACCGGGUCUAAUACUGGAUAUGACUCCAAGACGCAUGUUGUGGGGUGGAAAGCCUUGUGCGGCUGAGGAUGGGCCCGCGGCCUAUCAGCUUGUUGGUGGGGUGANGGCCUACCAAGGCGACGACGGGUAGCCGGCCUGAGAGGGCGACCGGCCACACUGGGACUGAGACACGGCCCACGACUCCUACGGGAGGGCAGCAGUGGGGAAGUCUUGCGCAAUGGGCGAAAGCCUGACGCAGCGACGCCGCGUGAGGGAUGACGGCC
RNAcentral lists this ribosomal RNA (391 nucleotides) under uncultured bacterium. RNAcentral describes it as "bacterial SSU rRNA". It matches the Rfam family "Bacterial small subunit ribosomal RNA", at positions 28 to 416 of the family's 1533-position model. The record is from RNAcentral.